Molecule: non-coding RNA, 73 nt
Organism: Parelaphostrongylus tenuis
Lineage: Eukaryota; Metazoa; Nematoda; Chromadorea; Rhabditida; Metastrongylidae
Source: the annotation of a GenBank genome assembly
GCGUCGGUUGGUGUAACGGUUAGCAUACGCUCCGGAAAAGAGUGAGAUUCGGGUUCGAGUCCCGGCUGAUGCA